AUACAGAGGGGGCUAGCGUUGUUCGGAAUCACUGGGCGUAAAGCGCUCGUAGGCGGAUCAGUCAGUCAGAGGUGAAAUCCCAAGGCUCAACCUUGGAACUGCCUUUGAUACUGCUGGUCUUGAGGUCGAGAGAGGUAAGUGGAAUUCCUAGUGUAGAGGUGAAAUUCGUAGAUAUUAGGAAGAACACCAGUGGCGAAGGCGGCUUACUGGCUCGAUUCUGACGCUGAGGAGCGAAAGCGUGGGGAGCAAACAGGAUUAGAUACCCCGGUAGUCC
This 274-nucleotide ribosomal RNA is filed under the name uncultured bacterium. RNAcentral describes it as "partial 16S ribosomal RNA". It matches the Rfam family "Bacterial small subunit ribosomal RNA", at positions 523 to 796 of the family's 1533-position model. The record is from RNAcentral.